GCGGACAUGGCGCUCCAUAUUUCGCUCUCGCCUCUUCCAACGCUCCAACAAUCGAGAAAGCUGCAACCAACGACAUUGCUAUAAAGCCUCGCCAAUUUCGGAGAAUUAUUCACUCUUAUACCAAACGCGUCAACUACCGGAAUCACCGCUGAGAUGAACUCCUUGACAAUCGCGCUGAUCCUGAUCAUCUCCGCGUGUUUCGUCGCGGCCCGUCCAAGGUACCUCGCAAUACCCCUCGACGACGUCGAAAUAAUCGAACUGUCAUCGUUGCCGCGAGUCAGCCGCCACGCCGAGAGUUUCAUUCCGGUCGCCGUU
RNAcentral lists this unclassified non-coding RNA (315 nucleotides) under Athalia rosae (coleseed sawfly). RNAcentral's name for it is "misc RNA ENSAEAG00005001879.1". The record is from RNAcentral. Lineage: Eukaryota; Metazoa; Arthropoda; Insecta; Hymenoptera; Athaliidae.